ACUGAGACACGGCCCAGACUCCUACGGGAGGCAGCAGUGGGGAAUAUUGGACAAUGGGCGAAAGCCUGAUCCAGCCAUGCCGCGUGUGUGAAGAAGGCCUUUUGGUUGUAAAGCACUUUAAGUGGGGAGGAAAAGCUUAUGGUUAAUACCCAUAAGCCCUGACGUUACCCACAGAAUAAGCACCGGCUAACUCUGUGCCAGCAGCCGCGGUAAUACAGAGGGUGCAAGCGUUAAUCGGAAUUACUGGGCGUAAAGCGCGCGUAGGUGGUUAUUUAAGUCAGAUGUGAAAGCCCCGGGCUUAACCUGGGAACUGCAUCUGAUACUGGAUAACUAGAGUAGGUGAGAGGGGAGUAGAAUUCCAGGUGUAGCGGUGAAAUGCGUAGAGAUCUGGAGGAAUACCGAUGGCGAAGGCAGCUCCCUGGCAUCAUACUGACACUGAGGUGCGAAAGCGUGGGUAGCAAACAGGAUUAGAUACCCUGGUAGUCCACGCCGUAAACGAUGUCUACCAGUCGUUGGGUCUUUUAAAGACUUAGUGACGCAGUUAACGCAAUAAGU
Molecule: ribosomal RNA, 555 nt
Filed under: uncultured Moraxella sp.
Lineage: Bacteria; Pseudomonadati; Pseudomonadota; Gammaproteobacteria; Moraxellales; Moraxellaceae
Description: bacterial SSU rRNA
Rfam family: Bacterial small subunit ribosomal RNA
Source: RNAcentral